UGGGACUCUGGGAUCUCAUCGACAGACAGCCCCUCAGAGGAAUCAGUUCCUGGGCUUGGCAGCUCACCUCAAGCUGUACUUCUGGGAAGAAGAUCAAGACCUAUGUACUUCUGGGUAGAAGAUCAAGACCUAGCUGUCUAAUACCACUCCCUCUUCUGCCGUGUACCAAAGAACACUGGAAGAACAGGCAGCGGCCGGCCUGGGUGACAGUGUUCUGGUGAGAUGCUCUUAGAGUUACAUUUUCUCCUGCAAUGUGAAGAAUCAUCAAGUGUCUGAUUUCUCAGCUCAACGCAGAAGGGAACCAGGCAAGGCCUUUCCUGCUGGAACAGGAAGCAUCCUUCAGCGAGAUCAGCUGCUGUGUUCAGAUGCAUGUCUGACACAUGGUCAACCAAGAGGACAAACCUUUAGUUUCUGAGUUUAUGCAAGAUUGUGUGAGCUUGGAAGAGCUGUUAUCUGAAGCAGAGGGCUGGCCCCAUACAUCAAUGUCUGGGCUCAUCCACCUGUUUUGGUAGAAUGGCCGGUGUCAUUUCCAGGUUCCUGAGGCUCACAGAAGUUACUCAGAGGCAUUGCUGCACUUAUAACUCAGGUCUUACAGGAGACAGGCGCUUGAACUGAAUUCAUAGAAGCAAUGAAGUACAACUUAUGAAACAAACGCCAAGAUGAUGUAGCAGACACAGAGGCCCCAUACAGACAGGCCAAAACUCCUAAGAGUCCAGAAGCCACGCCAAAGCCUUGCUCCAGUCCUUAGAACUGGAGCAUGGCUUCCGGACUCUUGGGACACAUGCAACACUUAAACAGCGUACGUCCAAAGUGACCCAAAGCAGCAUCAUUUUGGACUAUUUAUGGGGCUGUAGUUGUAUAAUUUAGUAGCGUUUGGUUUUUGGAGAUGUAUAAACAGAUAAGGCCUCCCCCCAUGUUUUGUUUGUAUUGUGUAUAGUAGUUGUAACGUUGUAUCCUACAGAGUGGGACUCAAAUGGUGGCAUGUAUGUGCUGAUUUUUCCACCUUGUUUUGUUUUGUACUGUGUAGUGUUUGUAAUGUUGCAUAGAGAUAGAGUGGGACUCGAUGGUGGCGUGUGUGUAUAUGUGUGCAGUCCCCCUCCCCCCCGUUUUGUUUGUCCUGGUGUGCUAUUUACAGUCAUCCCUCUGAAUUCAGAGUGUUGGAACUUGUGGUUUUGAUAAUAUGCAGGUUUCCCAGUUUCUCCUGCUCCUUUCCACCCCCUUCCUACCCUCCCUCCUUACCUCCUCGUUUUGCACCACUACCCCACCUAGCUAGCGGAGGCAGGGAGGAUGGGAUUUGAAUAUUGAAUUCACGGGGGUCCCCAGAAUGGAUCCCCCGUGAAUUUGGAGGGAUGACUGUAUAACAGCGGCCUUUGAGAGGUCAAACAACUCUUUUGACAGGGUUUGCCUGGUUGAGGCUUGCCCCUCCUCCAGGGCUGUCAGGCCUCCUCCGCGACUGGAAGUUCCGUCCCUUCCUGGCCUCCCAACCAAUCAGGGAGACCACCAGCUGAGAGAAGGGCGGGACUUCCGGCUGCAAGGGAGUCGCAGCGUUACAAAGGUUGGGAACCACUGCUGUAUAAUGUUGCAUCCCUAUAGAGUGGGACUCAAUGUGCAUGCAGCUUCCCUUCUCUUCCCCCCCAGUUUUGUUUGUAUUGUGUGUAGUAUUUUGUAACGUUGCAUUCCUAUUGAGUGGGACUGAAUAGUGGCAUGUGUACAUGGUCCCCUCCCCCCGGUUUAGGGUUGCCAUAUCCUGCUUUUAGGUGGGACAGUCCCGGUUUCAGGGCCUUGGGAUUGACCCUUCCCAGGUUUAACAAGAUGUCCUUGGCCCUGCCGGCCGGGGCCCCUCAGGCUGCCACCUGCCUCUGCCGCCCGCAGGCCUGCAACUCCUCCUCCUCUAGACUUGGACGCUGCCUUCAGCCUCUCCAGCUGCGGGCCGGGUGGCGCUCCUCCUCCUCCGCAUGCUCCUGCAGCGGCCACCCACUUCCUCCUCCAUGUUUUUUGCGCAGCCCGCCCUCAUCCUCCUUUAUGGCGCAUGGCACGCGGCCCACCUACUUCCCCCUCCUCCUUUGCGCGGCUGCGUCAUCCACAGCACUUCUGCGGGGCUGUGGCUGGCGCCAGCUCACACUUGCCCCACUUGCGCGUGCACGGGACCAUAUAGGGAGUGCUCGUCCCCUUCAAGCUGGCUGGCCAAUGGCAGAAGGGCAGGGAGGGGCUGUUUCCAGCCCCAGCCUACCAUUGGCCAGUCUCAAGAGGGAGGUGGAGCCGAGGAGGAGGAGUGAGACUCUGGGCCUGCCAGGGGGAGGGAAAAGCAUCCUUUCUUGGUGCAUGGGGAGGAAGAGGAGGAGGAGGCCCAUUUUCAAAGGUUUUUUGUGUGUGUCCUCUAUUUAAAAAAAAUGUGCCCUAGUUUGGAGGCACUGACUUAUGUCAACCCUAUCUGUGAGGGGCCUGGUUGGUUGGCUACGCCCCGUUUUAAAUUUUGUCCUUCGUUUUUUUUACGUUUCUCCCCAGGUGGUGGUACCAGUUAUGACAACCCUACCCCUGUUUUGUUUGUACUGUAUGUAGUAUUUGCAAUUUUAUAUGCCUAUAGAGUGGGACUCAAUGGUGGUGUGUGCAUGCAGCUGUGCUGCCAUUAGGGACAAUGGGACUUUGAGUAAGUCCCCGUUGUCACGUGUGCCGCUGCUGCAUGCACACGCUGCCAUUGGGGACAAUGGGGGCUUGCCAUCCGUGGAUGUUUAAAUCUGGCAAGCCCACAGAUAAAGAGGCGUAUAUACAUAUACACAUUAAGAAAUGUACUGUAUUUGUGUUCUAAUAAACUA
Molecule: long non-coding RNA, 2813 nt
Organism: Sceloporus undulatus (fence lizard)
Lineage: Eukaryota; Metazoa; Chordata; Lepidosauria; Squamata; Phrynosomatidae
Exons: 3
Source: RefSeq, a predicted model, not a curated record